CAAGUCGAACGGGGUAGCAAUACCUAGUGGCAGACGGGUGAGUAACAUGUGGGUAUCUUCCCCUUGGUGAGGAAUAACACGAGGAAACUUGUGCUAAUACCUCAUAAGUCUUUAUGGAGAAAGCUUUAUGCGCCAAUGGAUGAGCCUGCACUUGAUUAGUUAGUUGGUAGGGUAAUGGCCUACCAAGACUUUGAUCAAUAGCUGAUUUGAGAGGAUGAUCAGCCACAUUGGGACUGAGACACGGCCCAAACUCCUACGGGAGGCAGCAGUAGGGAAUCUUGCACAAUGGAGGAAACUCUGAUGCAGCGAUGCCGCGUGAGUGAAGAAGGCCUUUGGGUUGUAAAGCUCUUUCGUCGGGGAAGAAAAUGACUGUACCCGAAUAAGAAGGUCCGGCUAACUUCGUGCCAGCAGCCGCGGUAAUACGAAGGGACCUAGCGUAGUUCGGAAUUACUGGGCUUAAAGAGUUCGUAGGUGGUUAAAAAAGUUGGUGGUGAAAUCCCAGAGCUUAACUCUGGAACUGCCAUCAAAACUUUUUAGCUAGAGUAUGAUAGAGGAAAGCAGAAUUUCUAGUGUAGAGGUGAAAUUCGUAGAUAUUAGAAAGAAUACCGAUUGCGAAGGCAGCUUUCUGGAUCAUUACUGACACUGAGGAACGAAAGCAUGGGUAGCGAAGAGGAUUAGAUACCCUCGUAGUCCAUGCCGUAAACGAUGUGUGUUAGAUGUUGGAAAUUUAUUUUCAGUAUCGCAGCGAAAGCGUUAAACACACCGCCUGGGGAGUACGACCGCAAGGUUAAAACUCAAAUGAAUUGACGGGGACCCGCACAAGUAGUGGAGCAUGUGGUUUAAUUCGAAGAUACGCGCAGAACCUUACCACACUUGACAUGUUUGUCGCGACUUUAAGAGAUUAAGUCUCGGUCGCGACAAAACACAGUGCUGCAUGCUGUCGUCAGCUCGUGUCGUGAGAA
RNAcentral lists this ribosomal RNA (962 nucleotides) under uncultured bacterium. Its description in RNAcentral is "bacterial SSU rRNA". It matches the Rfam family "Bacterial small subunit ribosomal RNA", at positions 58 to 1073 of the family's 1533-position model. The record is from RNAcentral.